GUGGGGAAUUUUGGACAAUGGGCGCAAGCCUGAUCCAGCAAUGCCGCGUGCAGGAAGAAGGCCUUCGGGUUGUAAACUGCUUUUGUACGGAACGAAACGGUCCUGGUUAAUACCUGGGGCUAAUGACGGUACCGUAAGAAUAAGCACCGGCUAACUACGUGCCAGCAGCCGCGGUAAUACGUAGGGUGCAAGCGUUAAUCGGAAUUACUGGGCGUAAAGCGUGCGCAGGCGGUUUUGUAAGACAGACGUGAAAUCCCCGGGCUCAACCUGGGAAUGGCGUUUGUGACUGCAAAGCUGGAGUGCGGCAGAGGGGGAUGGAAUUCCGCGUGUAGCAGUGAAAUGCGUAGAUAUGCGGAGGAACACCGAUGGCGAAGGCAAUCCCCUGGGCCUGCACUGACGCUCAUGCACGAAAGCGUGGGGAGCAAACAGGAUUAGAUACCCCAGUAGUCC
This 450-nucleotide ribosomal RNA is filed under the name uncultured bacterium. Its description in RNAcentral is "partial 16S ribosomal RNA". It matches the Rfam family "Bacterial small subunit ribosomal RNA", at positions 354 to 796 of the family's 1533-position model. The record is from RNAcentral.